This 468-nucleotide ribosomal RNA is filed under the name uncultured bacterium. Its description in RNAcentral is "partial 16S ribosomal RNA". It matches the Rfam family "Bacterial small subunit ribosomal RNA", at positions 28 to 507 of the family's 1533-position model. The record is from RNAcentral.
GACGAACGCUGGCGGCGUGCUUAACACAUGCAAGUCGAACGGACAGGCCCUGAUCUUGCGGGGCGCUCGAGUGGCGAACGGGUGAGUAACACGUGUGUAACCUGCCCCUGUCAUUGGGAUAACUCCACGAAACUGCGGCUCAUAUCGCAUAGGAGAUCCUGCUGCAUGGUGUGGGAUGGAAAGUUUCGGCGGUUGGGGCUCGUCUCGCGGCUUCUCAGCUUGUUGGUGGGGUAGUGGCUUACCAAGGCUUUGACGGAUAGCCGGCCUUGGAGGGUGACCGGCCACAUGGGGACUAAGGUAGGGCCCAGACUCCUACGGGAGGCAGCAGUGGGGAAUAUUGCGCAAUGGGCGGGAGCCUGAUGCAGCAACGCCGCGUGCGGGAUGACGGCCUUCGGGUUGUAAACCGCUUUCGCCGGUGACGAAGCGGGAGUGACGGUAAUGAGUAAAGAAGCACCGGCUAACUACGUG